RNAcentral lists this ribosomal RNA (505 nucleotides) under uncultured bacterium. Its description in RNAcentral is "partial 16S ribosomal RNA". It matches the Rfam family "Bacterial small subunit ribosomal RNA", at positions 28 to 523 of the family's 1533-position model. The record is from RNAcentral.
GAUGAACGCUAGCUACAGGCUUAACACAUGCAAGUCGAGGGGUAACGAGAGGAAAGCUUGCUUUCCUUGUCGACGACCGGCGCACGGGUGAGUAACGCGUAUUCAACCUGCCCCCAACUAGGGAAUAACCUUGCGAAAGUAAGACUAAUACCCUAUAAUUUCCUCAGAUGCCAUCUGACGAGGAAUAAAGAUUUAUCGGUUGUGGAUGGGGAUGCGUCUGAUUAGCUUGUUGGCGGGGUAACGGCCCACCAAGGCAACGAUCAGUAGGGGUUCUGAGAGGAAGGUCCCCCACAUUGGAACUGAGACACGGUCCAAGCUCCUACGGGAGGCAGCAGUGAGGAAUAUUGGUCAAUGGGCGGAAGCUGAACCAGCCAAGUAGCGUGCAGGAUGACGGCCCUAUGGGUUGUAAACUGCUUUUAUACAGGAAUAAAGUUAGCCACGUGUGGUUAUUUGUAGGUACUGUAUGAAUAAGGACCGGCUAAUUCCGUGCCAGCAGCCGCCGUAA